RNAcentral lists this long non-coding RNA (211 nucleotides) under Brassica napus (rape). RNAcentral's name for it is "long non-coding RNA (BNAP_LNC000708)". The record is from RNAcentral. Lineage: Eukaryota; Viridiplantae; Streptophyta; Magnoliopsida; Brassicales; Brassicaceae.
UGAGUGCUGCAGGUUUUGUGGAGAGUGGGGUCCAUUUUGUGCACUUUCGAAUUUUUCCUUUGGUAAAAUAAUCGUAAGCGUAUACGUAUGGCAUAAGUUCAAAUUAAAUUAAUUAAAUUAGAAAAAAGUUCAAAUUAAAUAUCUUCAAAUAAAUACUGUUUUUUACAAAAUUCUUUGUAGGUACAGUUUGUUGACCAUAAGUAGUUACAAA